Long non-coding RNA from Amphiprion ocellaris (clown anemonefish), 653 nucleotides. RefSeq lists it as uncharacterized. The record is from RefSeq and is a predicted model, not a curated record. The transcript has 3 exons. Lineage: Eukaryota; Metazoa; Chordata; Actinopteri; Pomacentridae.
CCGAAAGUGGUCCUGAUGGGAUUGUACUGAAACCCACUGGCUUGACUGCACGAACUGAAGUCCGCAUAGGCCGAUGCCAAGCUCGACGUGUCCAUCCCGGCCAUACAUGACUCGUAGGCAGAGGAAUUUAGAUCUAAAACUGCACAGAAGGCGGUGCAGUGGGGUUUGGGGCUACAUCAUCAGACCUUAAGAUGCUGCUUCCAGCUCCUGCAGAGCACAGCUCGUCUCUGCUGGCCUCUCCGGCCCCUCCGAGCCUUUAUCUGCUGCUUCCCCAAGUGACCAAAGAGACCAGCCAGCGGAUUAACAUAAAAAUCUUAUUCCGGGGGAUAAGAUUAGGAAACAUAUUACCCUCAAACGCGGCCUUGGCACGGGCGAGAGCCAGGCAAGGAAUCAAUUACUAAAUUACUCCAACCUCUAAGUCGACAUUAACGCAGAGAAAUGCCAUCGACCGGCUCUUGAAAUAAGAUUUCGCAAAGAUGUGAUCAUUAAAUCUCUCCAGUGUUCAAGAAUUUGAUUCAUAAAAUCGUCUGAAAUGAGAUGGGAAUUAAAUUCUUAUCGGAGCUCUUGUCAUCGUUUCAUCCCGCGCCGCUGUUUAACGUUGGUCAAUGGGCCUUCAUGAGAUUUUCCCCCUGUAAAUAAACUUGGUAAUUGAA